GACGAACGCUGGCGGCGUGCCUAACACAUGCAAGUCGAGCGGAGUCGAUCGACGGAAGCCUUCGGGCGGAAGAUGGUUGACUUAGCGGCGGAUGGGUGAGUAACGCGUGGGCAACCUGCCUCGAAGACCGGGAUAACAGCCCGAAAGGGCUGCUAAUACCGGAUGUGGUCAAGGAUCCGCAUGGAUUUUUGAUUAAAGGGGAAACCCGUUUCGAGAUGGGCCCGCGUCCUAUCGGCUAGUUGGUGAGGUAAAAGCUCACCAAGGCGACGACGGGUAGCCGGCCUGAGAGGGUGACCGGCCACACUGGAACUGAGACACGGUCCAGACUCCUACGGGGGGCAGCAGUGGGGAAUCUUCCACAAUGGGCGAAAGCCUGAUGGAGCGACGCCGCGUGAGCGAAGAAGGCCUCGGGUUGUAAAGCUCUGUCUGGAGGGACGAAGGAAGUGACGGUACCUCCGGAGGAAGCCACGGCUAACUACGCGCCAGCAGCCGCCGGUAAUGAGUAGUACA
This 510-nucleotide ribosomal RNA is filed under the name uncultured bacterium. RNAcentral describes it as "bacterial SSU rRNA". It matches the Rfam family "Bacterial small subunit ribosomal RNA", at positions 28 to 536 of the family's 1533-position model. The record is from RNAcentral.